This 429-nucleotide ribosomal RNA is filed under the name Gemmatimonadota bacterium. Its description in RNAcentral is "Gemmatimonadetes bacterium partial 16S ribosomal RNA". It matches the Rfam family "Bacterial small subunit ribosomal RNA", at positions 355 to 776 of the family's 1533-position model. Lineage: Bacteria; Pseudomonadati; Gemmatimonadota. The record is from RNAcentral.
CAGGGAAUCUUCGGCAAUGGACGAAAGACUGAUCGAGCAACGCCGCGUGAGUGAAGAAGGUUUUCGGAUCGUAAAACUCUGUUGUUAGAGAAGACCAAGGACGUUAGUAACUGAACGUCCCCUGACGGUAUCUAACCAGAAAGCCACGGCUAACUACGUGCCAGCAGCCGCGGUAAUACGGAGGUGGCAAGCGUUGUCCGGAUUUAUUGGGCGUAAAGCGAGCGCAGGCGGUUUCUUAUGUCUGAUGUGAAAGCCCCCGGCUCAACCGGGGAGGGUCAUUGGAAGCUGGGAGACUUGAGUGCAGAAGAGGGGAGUGGAAUUCCAUGUGUAGCGGUGAAAUGCGUAGAUAUAUGGAGGAACACCGGUGGCGAAGGCGGCUCUCUGGUCUGUAACUGACGCUGAGGCUCGAAAGCGUGGGGAGCAAACAGG